RNAcentral lists this transfer RNA (36 nucleotides) under Adscita mauretanica. Its description in RNAcentral is "partial transfer RNA-Ser". The record is from RNAcentral. Lineage: Eukaryota; Metazoa; Arthropoda; Insecta; Lepidoptera; Zygaenidae.
AAAACUUAAGAAAGAAUAUAAUUAUUCUAUUAAUUU